AAGCUUCAGCAGCGCAUAUACUAAAAUUAAAACGAUACAGAGAAUAUUAGUACAGCCCUGCACAAGGAUGAUACGCAAAUUGGUGAAGCGUUCCAUAUUUUU
This is a small nuclear RNA of Onychomys torridus (southern grasshopper mouse), 102 nucleotides long. The record is from RefSeq and is a predicted model, not a curated record. NCBI's taxonomy places the organism in Eukaryota, Metazoa, Chordata, Mammalia, Rodentia, Cricetidae.